Molecule: ribosomal RNA, 420 nt
Filed under: uncultured crenarchaeote
Lineage: Archaea; Thermoproteati; Thermoproteota
Description: bacterial SSU rRNA
Rfam family: Archaeal small subunit ribosomal RNA
Source: RNAcentral
CAGCCGCAGCGGUAACACCAGCCCCUCGAGUGGUGGGGACUAUUAUUUGGCCUAAAGCGUCCGUAGCCGGCUGCAGCCGUCACCCGUUAAAUCCAGCGUCUCAAGCGUUGGACUGCGGGUGAUACCCUGCAGCUUGAGGGUGGGACAGGUUAGCGGUAUUCCCGGGGUAGGGGCGAAAUCCUUUGAUCCCGGGAGGACCACCAGUGGCGAAGGCUGCUGACUAGAACACGCCUGACGGUCAGGGACGAAAGCUGGGGUAGCGAACCGGAUUAGAUACCCGGGUAGUCCCAGCUGUAAACGAUGCACGCUAGGUGUUGGGUCGGCCACGCGCCGCCCCAGUGCCGCAGGGAAGCCGUUAAGCGUGCCGCCUGGGGAGUACGGCCGCAAGGCUGAAACUUAAAGGAAUUGGCGGGGGAGCAC